UUGCUUUGGCAGAAAAUAUACUAAAAUUGGAAUAAUACAAAGAUUAUUAGCGUGGACUCUGCACAAGGAAGACAUCAAAGCUGUGACAUCUUCCACAUUAAA
Manis javanica (Malayan pangolin) is the source of this 102-nucleotide small nuclear RNA. The record is from RefSeq and is a predicted model, not a curated record. NCBI's taxonomy places the organism in Eukaryota, Metazoa, Chordata, Mammalia, Pholidota, Manidae.